AUACGUAGGGAGCGAGCGUUGUCCGGAAUUACUGGGUGUAAAGGGUGCGUAGGCGGGACUGCAAGUCAGAUGUGAAAUGCCGGGGCUCAACCCCGGAGCUGCAUCUGAAACUGUGGUUCUUGAGUGAGGUAGAGGUAAGCGGAAUUCCUAGUGUAGCGGUGAAAUGCGUAGAUAUUAGGAGGAACAUCGGUGGCGAAGGCGGCUUACUGGGCCUUUACUGACGCUGAGGCACGAAAGCGUGGGGAGCAAACAGGAUUAGAUACCCUGGUAGUCCACGCUGUAAACGAUGAUGACUAGGUGUGGGGGGACUGAACCCUUCCGUGCCGCAGUUAACACAAUAAGUCAUCCACCUGGGGAGUACGGCCGCAAGGUUGAAACUCAAAUGAAUUGACGGGG
This 396-nucleotide ribosomal RNA is filed under the name uncultured bacterium. Its description in RNAcentral is "partial 16S ribosomal RNA". It matches the Rfam family "Bacterial small subunit ribosomal RNA", at positions 523 to 918 of the family's 1533-position model. The record is from RNAcentral.